This 253-nucleotide ribosomal RNA is filed under the name uncultured organism. RNAcentral's name for it is "partial 16S ribosomal RNA". It matches the Rfam family "Bacterial small subunit ribosomal RNA", at positions 524 to 776 of the family's 1533-position model. The record is from RNAcentral. RNAcentral also lists the same sequence under 1 other name.
UACGUAGGGGGCAAGCGUUGUUCGGAAUUACUGGGCGUAAAGCGCGUGUAGGCGGUUUGGUAAGGCGGGCGUGAAAUCCCCGGGCUCAACCCGGGAUCCGCACCCGCGACUGCCAGGCUGGAGUGCGAGAGGGGAAAGCGGAAUUCCCGGUGUAGCGGUGAAAUGCGUAGAGAUCGGGAGGAACACCCGUGGCGAAGGCGGCUUUCUGGAUCGCAACUGACGCUGAGACGCGAAAGCUAGGGGAGCAAACAGG